Molecule: long non-coding RNA, 3246 nt
Filed under: Lactuca sativa (garden lettuce)
Lineage: Eukaryota; Viridiplantae; Streptophyta; Magnoliopsida; Asterales; Asteraceae
Description: long non-coding RNA (LSAT_LNC000661)
Source: RNAcentral
AACUAGGGGACAAGUGGUAAUUUUCGGAAUCGUGAUAAGGCAAAGACGUGAAGCGUCUUGCCGAUAUGCGUGUCAUGCCAAUAGUAAACGUAGCUGAACAUGCUGACAUAUGUAUGAAAAGAGGAUGAGUGACAAAGUCUGGGUUAGACAUGUGGAUGCGACGCACAGAGCCUACAUAUAUAUAUAUAUAUAUAUAUAUAUAUAUAUAUAUAUAAUACUACUUUAUAAUAUAUACUUAACUGGAAGAUCAAAAGUUUUAAGACCAAGUCUUAAAAACAAGGAUGAAUUUUGGCCUUUGGAUGAAUUUAAUUGGUGUAGAUUGUGAUCCAUGUGAAAAAAAACCAUCCAAUCAAAAUGAAAGGAUUUAAACAAACAAACAUUCUCUUUCAUGAUAUAUAGUAAGGCUACUACGUAUUAUUAUUACAUUCAAUCUCUUAAGAAGCAAACUGCCACAAACUCUAAUCACUCUCACUUCCUCUCUCUAGAAACCCCAAUUGCCGGUUGUAGCAACAACACAACUGUCUUGCACCCUCAUGUCACCGUUUUCAAGCCGCCAAACUCUUUUCCACUCUCAAGAACAUCCAUUGCUUGACAUUGUUGUAGCAAUGUAGCUUAACCCGACUGAAGAACAUCUACUGCUUGAUGUUGAUGGUAAAUCGACGAUCUCUCUCUCUCUCUCUCUUUCUCUCUAAAAACCAUAACUCUGGCUUCUCAUAACAAUUACAAUCCUCUCCUACACGGCCAAUCGAGGAGGCAUUCAUGGGUUGUAAAAAUCAGGUUUGAUUGUUUUGUUUUUUCCAUACAUAAUGCUUUUGAUAUCGUUGAUGAAUAUGGUUUUGUUUUUUUAGAAGUUUCAAAUGUGUUGCAAUGGCUGGUUUAAAGUACAUGAAUAUUUUAUUGGGUUGAUAUUUGAAUUCUAAAGACUAAACUGCAAAUUUGGUCCCUAUGGUUAGCAGAAAAAUGUGGAUGAAGUCCAAAAUCUUUUCAACUUGCACCACUAGUCCAAAAUCAUAAAUUUUUUUGUGGUUUUGGUCCCUAAAAAAGUUGAAAAGACUAUUUUACCCUUUUAAUUUUUUUUUUACAUUUUUUAUAUUUAUUUUAAUCUUUUUUAAUUUUGAAAAAGAAAUUAAAAAAAAGAGCAAAGCUUGCUCACCCACCCAUCCACCAUACCUCUCUCUCUCUCUCUCUCUCUCUCUCUCUCUCUCUCUUAUCGUGUUCUUAAUUUUUCAUCCCAUCCCCACUCCUUCUAUGUUAAUUAUGAUGUCACUUAUCACAUCCUCUCUCCAUUUCCCUUUAUUCCAACAAACCCACAUAAACAAAAAUUAUUAGAGAAAGGGAUAAUGGAUUAGAAUCAAGAUUGGAGCUUUGUAAUUGGGUUCCAUAUUCCUCACAUAACCAUCGAGUUCACACCAAACCUGCAUCACAUAUACCAUCUUCUUCUCCAAGCUACCAUAUCUACAUAUCAACCAUUUUCACCAUCGUUUACUGAGAUCCCUACAUCACUAUCUUGACCCUCUAUCAUCUCAAUAGCUAACACCAUCACAUGUAAUAAAAAAAAUAAAACAAAUAAAAAAACACCUUUGUUCUUCCAUGGUAUAACAGACUCGAAAAUCAAUUCCUCUAAGGGAAGAGAUGAGACACAAACAAGAAAAUCGGUCUAUGUUAAAUCCAUACUCAAUUGGUGGUGGUUUGGUGAGGGAAGUAGUAAGGAGUACGACAUUCAGAUGCUCUGGUGGUUUGAGGCGUCGGAACCCUAAUCGUGGUAAGUUCGAAAGGAGAUGUUGUUUUCCGUAGUGAUGGUGGUCACCCCUUUUAAUAUGUGAAGGGGAUAUUGGGGUUGAAGAUGAAGAUUGAUCAAAGGAGAGGAUAUCAUAGGGUAUUUAUACCAUAAAACCAUGAGCUUCAAGCGAUCUGGAUCAACGAUUCUGGCAACCUAUGCCGCUUGCUUCUUGUUUUUUAGAUCCAACUUAAGCCUACAUUUGAUUAUUUGUGGUUUGUUUGUUGUAAUCUUGAUGGACGAUGAAGACAGUAGGGACGUCAGAGGAAGAAGGUGUCUCGGAGGAAGAAGACAAUGUGUUUGAUCGAUGGGUUUUUUUAUCUUCCGUGUGUGUGUGUGUGAUAGGGGAGAGAGAGAGAGAGAGGGGGUACGGUGGAGGGCUGGGUGAGUUGUCUUUGUUAUUUUUUAUUUAUUUUCAAAAUAAAAAAGGAUUAAAAUAAAUACAAAAAACUUAAAAAAGAAUUUAAAAGGGUAAAACAGUCUUUUCAACUUUUUCAGGGACCAAAACCACAAAAAAUUUAUGAUUUUGGACCAGUGGUGCAAGUUGAAAAAAAUUUGGACUCCAUCCAUAUUUUUUUACUAACCACAGGGACCAAAUUUGCAGUUUAGUCAAUUCUAAAAGAUGUAUAAUAGAUAAAAUGUUAUAUUGUCGUUGAUUUAUAGAAAAUGAUGUGAUUUUUUUUACAGAAAUAUUCUUUCCUAUUAAAGAUGAUGUCAAUUUGGAGGUUUGAAACUUAUAUAUGUUCAAUGAGUUGGACUGAGGAUUUAAAAUUCAGUUUUUAUUCGGAUCUUUUCCAUUGAUCUGGAGUUCAUUUCUUACAUACUUAUAAAGCUAGCAUUUUCCUUGAACCUCAUGCAUUUGAAACCCCCAUAAAAAUUUGCAAACACCUAAUGCAUUUGAAACCUCUUAUUUUAAUGAUACCACUCAAAAGUCUCUUAAUAAUGAUUAACAAUUCAAAGGUUUUAUAACAUAUAAAAUAUAUUUAAUAAACAAUUAAUGGAUACUCUACUAUAAAAAGGCCAAUCUUUUUUAGUAGACACACAAAUACAAAUUACAUACAAAAUUGACAAAGAAAACAAGUUUAAAGUUUUUUGUGUUGGUUUGAGGGCUUUGCACAAUUUUUCGAGCCAUGUUAUUAUGUUGAACUUUUCAAUUUGUAAGUUUGUUAUAUACCAAUUCUUUUUUGUAUUUUCGUGAUUUAAGUAUUCUUUUAAGAAUAUCAUUGUAUGUUGUGACUGAAAUUUUAAUGUAAAUUAGAUUAGAUUCAUGUUAUCGAUCAUAUGUUAUGGAAGGUGAUAUAUAUAAUAUUUAAUUACCUAUUGUAUACAUAUUUGUAUGUUCAUGUUGCUUUAAAACAAUAAUUAAUUAAAAAUCAUGGAUAUGUCAUAUUAUCCAUAUUAUACAUGUAAGCCUUUUUAAAAAUGUAAAUUGUCUAUCUUAUCACUUUAUAUUUUAGUAUAUGUUUAAC